This 21-nucleotide non-coding RNA is filed under the name Caenorhabditis elegans. The record is from RNAcentral. Lineage: Eukaryota; Metazoa; Nematoda; Chromadorea; Rhabditida; Rhabditidae.
UAACUUAUGUUUCAUCGUUUU